AUUGCCACUGCUUACCAAUCUCCACCAGAGAUCAACCUGAUUGGUCUGUGUUGCCAGUGAACUCACAGUGUGCCAAGUUGUGGUAGAUAGGUGGUCACACA
Molecule: microRNA precursor, 101 nt
Filed under: Marmota monax (woodchuck)
Lineage: Eukaryota; Metazoa; Chordata; Mammalia; Rodentia; Sciuridae
Source: RNAcentral